GCUCUCCAAUUAGAGAGAUGUCAGAAAGAGCACAGCUAAGCAGCAAUCUGGUAAACAUAGGAAUGUUUUCAUUAAACAGCUUUGGGAUACAAAAUUAUUUAUACUGACCUUGUUUUCCAACUCUUCGGAGGCCCAAGGAGAAAUCUUGAGAUUCUGUAAGAAGUAAGGCCCCUUCAUUAUAUUGCUUCCCAUCUGUCAGGUUUGUUUUUAGGAUAUAGAGGUAUUCAUCUCUCUGGAAAUAAUGGGGAUUUCACAGGCUAGAAAAAACAUGAAUGAAACUGUUUAUCAGUGAAGGGCCUAAGAGAGCUUUGCCGCAUCGUAUGGGCAUGAACUUAAUUACAGCCAACUGGGUUAGGCUGGUGUGAGCAAGCUCGUGUUUGUCCCCCCGAGAUGGUAUUGCGGAACACGUAACCUUUUUGAGGUGCAAAAACUAACAUUUCAGGUCAAGGUCAUUGAGUGAAAACAGUUCCUGGCAGUCUCGUGCACCUCCUUCUCUGUGCUUGUAGUAGGACCGUUUUCUGAGCGGCGUGCAUGCAGGACCUGCGAAGGUUGGGCUUGAAUUUAGCCCUGUGUGAACGCGAUUGCUGCCCCGAGGAAACCGAAGGAGCCAGCGCAGCAGCCGGGGAAGCUGCACGGCGCGUGCCUGGCGUGGGACGGGUACCGAUCAGGUCUCAUACAAAUGUUUGUGGGAAUGGACCACUGGAGCUCUCUAGUCCAGCCUCUGGCUUGGAGCAGGACUGUCACCGACACCAGAUCAGCCCAUACGGCAGUGACUGCCCGCAGAGCUGUUUGCGAGGCGACGGCGAGGAAGAGGUCUGACUCACCGGUAGGUAACUGCUUGCUUAUCAAAAAUUAUUGAGAAUUUCUGACUGACUGUGUGUGACUGUGAAAUGCAUAUGCACAAGUAGGAAAGCACAGAGUAUCUCUUUGCAGCAAUCUCCUUAAGCAUUUCAGAACACGUUUCAGUGAAACUUUGGUACAACAGGAAAGUAUGAUGGCCUAUUUUUUAAGUUUCUGCAGGAAAGCCAGAUUGGUCAUUUAAUAACAUAUCAGCCGCAUCCUUAACUGUUGGAGAGUCUUUACCACUCUUUCUCAGUAAUGAAUAUCUCCUCUCUAGCAUGUUAUACUCUUCUUCCUGAAUGUUCAGAAGCCGAGUGCUGAUGUGCAGUCCA
Molecule: long non-coding RNA, 1172 nt
Organism: Dromaius novaehollandiae (emu)
Lineage: Eukaryota; Metazoa; Chordata; Aves; Casuariiformes; Dromaiidae
Exons: 3
Source: RefSeq, a predicted model, not a curated record